Portunus trituberculatus (swimming crab) is the source of this 1750-nucleotide long non-coding RNA. RefSeq lists it as uncharacterized. The record is from RefSeq and is a predicted model, not a curated record. NCBI's taxonomy places the organism in Eukaryota, Metazoa, Arthropoda, Malacostraca, Decapoda, Portunidae. The transcript is spliced from 6 exons.
UUCUAAAACAGCUCAUCACCUUCCCUUGGUGGGAGUAACUGACUGACAGACGUGUAUCUCAGUUUGUCCAGUGCUUCUGAGGGUGAAUGUUAUAGUAUUAGUGAAAACCUUUGACUAUACUUAUUGGAUACAUUAGUGAUUCUAAGGUGUUUACAACUUUGCCGUGCACGCGACGAGAGACGGCCACUGCGGGGAAGUGAAGUGAGACUCAAAGCAGGAGUAUCUCAGCUUACUUCCCAGGACCAAGGGCGUCCUAGCAUUAGUAGUGGCCUUCCAUGGGGUCACUCUUCACGCAGGUCACGGCCAUGGCCUCUCCAGCCUUUACAUUGUCCAGGGAGGGUGCAGGCCGUCACGGAUGGGAGGCUGUGGCGUACCCGAGCCGCGCUGUAUUGUGGCGAGAUCAGGAGAGGAGGGUGGUCAGGCUCACGAAGUUUUGAAGGUUCCCACCACCUGUCUUCACAACACCCUCACAUCCAUCGUAGAUAGACAAACAGCCACUGACAACAAUUAAGCAAACAAACAGAGAUGGAGACUGUUACAGCAUCACACAAGACUGAAUGAUGCAGUUCCUUGAGUCGCCGCCAUAACAACAACAAAAACAACAACAACAACAGGGGCAUUCGGGAUUACAUAAAGAUGCUAAAAAACGCAACACGAAGCCACGCCUUUACUUCGCCCCAAUAUGACCCUCCAGUCAGCCAAUCAGUGCCUAUAAACCACUAAAGCAAGAACUAUCUCCACUCUUAUUGCUUCUCCCUUUCUGCUCCAUCGCCGCCGUCGCCACCACCGUCCCCCGCCACUACCAUCGCCAAGCCACGCUAGUCCAGACCGACCUUCAGCCCUUCACCACCUGAGAGAAAGCAAGUCCAUCAGUCACAUCGCGGAAGAAACCCUCCUUCUCAUAUUUAGUGACUUCCGCCGCACAGGUGUUCCUCCCCCCCACCCUCCUUCCUCCCAGGCCGGCCGACGUAAUCACUUCCUCGUACCAUCGACUCGUCAUGACAGUUUCUCGAAGCUCAAAUGGACAGGUGUGCAUGACCGGGCAGUGAGUGUAUGGCGGCUGAUAGGGAGCGCGAUAAGCAAACCCGUCGGGCAGGCAGCAGCAGCAGCAUCUCGCGGCGGGGCAGAAGUGGGAAGACCCUAGCCCCGGAGAGGAAAGCUGCUGAAUCUUUCUCUUCAUACAACCCUGAACCGGUUCGUCUGGUUGCUUUACUUUGGCUGCUGUGGUGGUGUACCUCAUGGGAGCAGAAUGAAGGAGGCAGGGGGAGGUACUACAGCUGUUUUGAGAGUGCCUCCAUCUGUAUGGCAACGAAGGUCAGAGAAGAACACCUGCGAUGGAAGUGCGUGUGGGGAGUGUAGCGCAUGUAGGUACGUGUGUAUAGAUGUCACGAAAAUGACAUAAUGAAGGUUUUAUUGCAAUGUGUGCAGUUGUGUCUUUUGUAUACUUCUGUGUAUCAUUUUUUAUCUCCUUCAUGUUCCUUUUCUAAUUUCCUUCUACUUUUCCAUUUUUUCUUCCAUGUCUCGUUUUGAUUUAUGAUUAUACUUUUUAUUUCUUUUUCAUUUCUACAUCUCUUUCUUUAUUUCUCCUCACCGUCAUGGAAUUCUGGUAACUGACAAUAGCUGUGUGACGGAGAAAGAAGCUCAAGUUACCAGUGUUUUGCCGAGACGUGUUGGAAAAUUCUGCUGUUGAUUUAAUUUCACGCUGGUCCUCGCGUCAGUCUUGCGUCUCCAGCGUGGAAUUGUUGAUUGA